Molecule: long non-coding RNA, 779 nt
Organism: Silurus meridionalis
Lineage: Eukaryota; Metazoa; Chordata; Actinopteri; Siluriformes; Siluridae
Exons: 5
Source: RefSeq, a predicted model, not a curated record
GAUUAGUGUAGGUUAGGUUUUUAUAUAUUGUAGGUCAUAUUACCAGCAGAUUGUUUCCGUUGUUGUGACUAAUUGUUUUCUUUGAGCUGUUUAGAAUUUUUUUCAGGUUUCAUCCACUUACACCAGAAAGCAAAUUUUGAAGAAAACGCUCUCAGGCUGCUAAGGAGCCGCUGGAAGAAACUGGACCUGACAGAUGUGCAGAGCAGCCCACCAACCAUGGUUAAGAAGGAUGAUGGAGAAAGACUGGAUGGAUCAACAAUCCCCAGCAACACUGAGGACAAAAGUGUUUGCUCCCACAUAGAACAGCUAUCAACCACAAGAGCUCCUGUUACCACACACCAUGGAAACCAACGAGUAAAAUAUACCCACUGCACAGAUUGGAGAGGCCAUAAGUAGUGAGCAGAAAAAUCUCCAAGAAUGUGUCAGUGUGCCCAGGGUCAUGUCUGUCCAAGCAUCUCAUUGCCAGGGGACUUUUCUCGAAACACUCAGUGUACAUGUGUAGCACUGCAGUUUCUGGCCUACCAGAGUGAGGGAACCGAGUUUACAAUGCAGGACCUUGAUAGAGUUCUGAAGGAGGGGGAUGCAUUGUAUACGUACAUUAAAAUGCAGCUAAUAAGUGCAAAUACAUUUCUAAAUGACCACUUGAAUAUGGAUGAAGUGCCAGAGCGUGUCACAAAAAGUAAAUCAAUCGUACAAUGUUAUAAAAUCCGAAACAAUGUUGGGAUGCCUGAGAUCCAGUGGGUUCUCUGGAGAAUCCUGGUUUAAGACUCUACCUGAGA